CCCACCAAUUGCCAUUUCUUCACCUUCUUCACAAUUUUCUUCCCAUUUAUAAAUGGAAAUGGCAUCUCAUUUUUUUUUGUCAUUGUAGAAAAAGAGCUAUAAUGAAAAUUUCUUAGUCCAUAAACAACCCAUGUCGCUGGUUUGUUGGAUGUAAGAUGGUCGGGUUUGAUGCAAUUUUUUUAGGUGGUGUGAAGUUAAUUAUCCUGAACAUGCUAGAAUUGCUAUUUCGGGAUUACAAAAGAGGAUUAAAAAAAAUGAUGAAGAAAAGGAAAAAAUUAGGAGGAAGUAUCAAUUUUUGCUGCUCAUUGUGAUAUAAGCUUUGGUUUAUAGAGAGUUCUUUAUGUAAUAGAUGCUAUGUAUGUUGCUUUUUGGGUCACCAAGUUAAAGCAAAAGGGGGAAAACAAAAGGAAACACAAUCACAGUACCUUAAUUUGCAAAGAAGGGAAACAAAGACAACAAUGGAUUGUGCUUGCAGAAGAUCAAAUUUGAGAUUAGAAAUGGUCUAGACCUGAAGCUCACUUUCCUAAUUUUGUUCUGGAAAUCUUCGCAGCUAUACAUUUUGCUUUUAUUAUUUUUAUUUAUUGUAGAAGACUUCUUUUGAAUUAUCAAUAAAAUAAGUCAAUGGGAUCCUUCCAUUUAA
Lycium barbarum (goji berry) is the source of this 640-nucleotide long non-coding RNA. RefSeq lists it as uncharacterized. The record is from RefSeq and is a predicted model, not a curated record. NCBI's taxonomy places the organism in Eukaryota, Viridiplantae, Streptophyta, Magnoliopsida, Solanales, Solanaceae. The transcript is spliced from 2 exons.